Molecule: ribosomal RNA, 618 nt
Filed under: Lactococcus garvieae
Lineage: Bacteria; Bacillati; Bacillota; Bacilli; Lactobacillales; Streptococcaceae
Description: bacterial SSU rRNA
Rfam family: Bacterial small subunit ribosomal RNA
Source: RNAcentral
AAGAUAGCUUGCUAUUUUUAUGAAGAGCGGCGAACGGGUGAGUAACGCGUGGGAAAUCUGCCGAGUAGCGGGGGACAACGUUUGGAAACGAACGCUAAUACCGCAUAACAAUGAGAAUCGCAUGAUUCUUAUUUAAAAGAAGCAAUUGCUUCACUACUUGAUGAUCCCGCGUUGUAUUAGCUAGUUGGUAGUGUAAAGGACUACCAAGGCGAUGAUACAUAGCCGACCUGAGAGGGUGAUCGGCCACACUGGGACUGAGACACGGCCCAGACUCCUACGGGAGGCAGCAGUAGGGAAUCUUCGGCAAUGGGGGCAACCCUGACCGAGCAACGCCGCGUGAGUGAAGAAGGUUUUCGGAUCGUAAAACUCUGUUGUUAGAGAAGAACGUUAAGUAGAGUGGAAAAUUACUUAAGUGACGGUAUCUAACCAGAAAGGGACGGCUAACUACGUGCCAGCAGCCGCGGUAAUACGUAGGUCCCAAGCGUUGUCCGGAUUUAUUGGGCGUAAAGCGAGCGCAGGUGGUUUCUUAAGUCUGAUGUAAAAGGCAGUGGCUCAACCAUUGUGUGCAUUGGAAACUGGGAGACUUGAGUGCAGGAGAGGAGAGUGGAAAUCCAUGGG